AACGAACGCUGGCGGCGUGGAUAAGACAUGCAAGUCGAACGCUUGUUUUCCUGUAGCAAUAUAGGGAGGCAGGAGUGGCGCAAGGGUGCGUAACACGUGGAUCAUCUGCCUGGAAGUUCGGAAUAAUUCCGCGAAAGCGGGACUAAUGCCGGAUGUGGAUGGAAGUCUAAAGCUGGGGACCGCAAGGCCUGGCGCUUCCAGAUGAGUCCGCGGCCUAUCAGCUAGUUGGCGGGGUAACGG
This 240-nucleotide ribosomal RNA is filed under the name uncultured bacterium. Its description in RNAcentral is "partial 16S ribosomal RNA". It matches the Rfam family "Bacterial small subunit ribosomal RNA", at positions 29 to 263 of the family's 1533-position model. The record is from RNAcentral.